This 29-nucleotide non-coding RNA is filed under the name Mus musculus (house mouse). Lineage: Eukaryota; Metazoa; Chordata; Mammalia; Rodentia; Muridae. The record is from RNAcentral.
UCAAAGAAACUGUUUGGGCUGCGUUCACU